UUAGCCACAACUUACUCAUAUUACCAUUUCAUAGACAAGUUACAUUCAGGCUUAUACAUAUAGCUUUGCCAAUAGCAAAAAAUUAAGAAAAAGAAAAGCUGAGAAGACACUAAAACUAGCACAUAUCCUAUUCUCAUUUUCUUCCUCAUUCUUUCACACUCAAUCAAAUUCUGGUUCUUCAAGCUCAUCACCUCUUCCCAUAACUCAUCAAUCUGACCAUUUAGAUCACCACCAGACUCAUUAGCUCUUUUCAUUGCUUUUAAACUUUUAUUUUCAGAUAAUAGUAGCACUUUCUUCUCUUUAAGCAAAUUGAGCAAAUCCUUUAUCCUGUCACUUAUAGGCUCAUCGUGCCACUCAAAAAAACCACAACUUUUAACUUGUAAUUUACACACAAAAAUUACUCAAAUUUUAUUUUCAAUUUCAUCAUACCCAUUACUCAGUAUCAAGAAGCCUUUUCCUCCGCGUACUUCUGUUGGGAGCAAAUUUGAUCAAUAUAUACUUACUUCAUAAUUUGCGCAUCCAUAAAAUUUUCUUCCUAGAUUGUCAUUUGUCCAUGACGUCUAUCUAGGUGCCUUCACUCUCCAGCCUCUUACUCGACAUCUACAGUAUUUAACCUCACCCUCAUAAUGGAAUUUCAUAUUACUCUUCCUCACUGUUCUUGAUGUUGACGACGAAGAUGAAGA
This 683-nucleotide long non-coding RNA is filed under the name Ricinus communis (castor bean). RNAcentral's name for it is "long non-coding RNA (RCOM_LNC000709)". Lineage: Eukaryota; Viridiplantae; Streptophyta; Magnoliopsida; Malpighiales; Euphorbiaceae. The record is from RNAcentral.